UACGUCAGCGGCCCUGGGCUGAGAUUUGAGAACGCGACCAAGUGGAGAAUGUUGGAGCCAGAUUUUAAAAUCCUUGUCUUCCUUCUGCGUGCUACUUGAUCUAAAUGAGAUACGGCAAAGUCACAGAACCUGUUUUUAUGUUUUUGCCUGAUUCAUACGGGCUUCUCCGGUGAAGAUGGGCCUGAAGUAACGCUUGGGUUGCUUCUGACGUUAUAACUCAUCCUGUAGCUGCAGCAACCGUGGUCCUUGCAACCUCAUAAAAAUGUUGCCAGCAUUGUUUCGAUAGUGCUGCUUAAUUCUUGGAAGGUUCUUCGGACUUCACACAUUCCAGCAGUAGCUCUCUCAGCUCCUGUCCUGCACAGCUUUGAAGUGCUGGAUACAGCAAGGCCCCAAUCUGCAAGCCAGGAAGAGUCGUCACGAGAACCAGACCAUGCAGGAACUCUGAUCGUGGACAUUUCAACCUCCAGAACUGUGAUCCAAAAUGCAUAUGUAUCUUUGGAAGAAACUCUGAAGUAAAGGCCGGAAUAUUCUUUGUUUAAAACAUUAAAAACAAAACAGACCAAAGCAUCAAGCAAGAAGUUUCCUGGCAAUAAACUAAGCACAGCAUUAUUUUUUAAGGAACACAAAUUAAGUGUUCAACCUGUGGCAAAUUUGUACUUUCUCCCUGAAUUAUGUUGUUAUCAAAGAAAAAAAUUGGGAAGCAUGGCAAAAUAUCAUCAAAACUGAAACUAGAA
This 734-nucleotide long non-coding RNA is filed under the name Homo sapiens (human). Its description in RNAcentral is "hepatocellular carcinoma up-regulated long non- coding RNA". The stretch from base 493 to 732 matches the Rfam family "Highly up-regulated in liver cancer conserved region". The record is from RNAcentral. Lineage: Eukaryota; Metazoa; Chordata; Mammalia; Primates; Hominidae.